Nycticebus coucang (slow loris) is the source of this 107-nucleotide small nuclear RNA. Lineage: Eukaryota; Metazoa; Chordata; Mammalia; Primates; Lorisidae. The record is from RefSeq and is a predicted model, not a curated record.
GUGCUUGCUUUGGCAGCACAUAUACUAAAAUUGGAACAAUAUAGAGAAGAUGAGCAUGGCCCCUGCACAAGGAUGACCCAAAAGGGAGAAUGAGGCAGCACAGCACA